CAAUAAUGUUCACAGCUGCUCUCAUCAAACUCUCUGCAGCUUUGCUCUGGUUUGGAGGUCUAACUGAUGGGAGUGAUGUCUCCCAGACUCCUCUGCUAUGGAAGUCAGAGGGUCAGUCUGCCACAAUGACCUGCAAUCACACUAAGAAUUUUGAUUACACACAGAUGUAUUGGUAUCAACAGCUGCCAGGACAGAAAAUAAAGCAAAUCGUUUUCACAGCUCCAACAACCCAGCAUACUUAUGAAAGUGGCUUCAGUGAGGAAAAGUUUCCAGCAACAAAGAACAGUUAUGAGACUGGAUCUCUGACAGUGGAGAAGCUGGUGCCUGGAGACAGUGGAGUGUAUUUCUGUGCUGUGAGUAAACACAGUGAUGCAGGUGGAUUAAAGAGCUGCACAAAUACCCAGACUAUGGUUUCACAAUGAACUGAAGACAUCAGUGUGUUUAAUUAUCUGUAGGGGGCGCUCAAUCCUCAUUAUUCAGAUUU
Non-coding RNA from Oreochromis aureus, 484 nucleotides. NCBI's taxonomy places the organism in Eukaryota, Metazoa, Chordata, Actinopteri, Cichliformes, Cichlidae. The record is from the annotation of a RefSeq genome assembly.